Molecule: ribosomal RNA, 908 nt
Filed under: uncultured bacterium
Lineage: Bacteria
Description: bacterial SSU rRNA
Rfam family: Bacterial small subunit ribosomal RNA
Source: RNAcentral
AGAGUUUGAUCCUGGCUCAGGAUGAACGCUAGCGGCAGGCUUAACACAUGCAAGUCGAGGGGUAACAUUGGAGCUUGCUUCAGAUGACGACCGGCGCACGGGUGCGUAACGCGUAUAGAGUCUGCCUUACACUGAGGGAUAGCCUUUGGAAACGAAGAUUAAUACCUCAUGGUAUGAUGACUUGGCAUCAAGACAUCAUUAAAGGUUACGGUGUAAGAUGACUAUGCGUCCUAUUAGCUAGUUGGUAAGGUAACGGCUUACCAAGGCAACGAUAGGUAGGGGCCCUGAGAGGGGGAUCCCCCACACUGGUACUGAGACACGGACCAGACUCCUACGGGAGGCAGCAGUGAGGAAUAUUGGACAAUGGAGGCAACUCUGAUCCAGCCAUGCCGCGUGAAGGAUGACUGCCCUAUGGGUUGUAAACUUCUUUUAUACAGGAAGAAACCGUUCCACGUGUGGAGCUUUGACGGUACUGUAUGAAUAAGCACCGGCUAACUCCGUGCCAGCAGCCGCGGUAAUACGGAGGGUGCAAGCGUUAUCCGGAAUCAUUGGGUUUAAAGGGUCCGUAGGCGGACUAAUAAGUCAGAGGUGAAAUCCCGCAGCUCAACUGUGGAACUGCCUUUGAAACUGUUAGUCUUGAGUUAUUGUGAAGUGGUUAGAAUAUGUAGUGUAGCGGUGAAAUGCUUAGAGAUUACAUGGAAUACCGAUUGCGAAGGCAGAUCACUAACAAUAUACUGACGCUGAUGGACGAAAGCGUGGGGAGCGAACGGGAUUAGAUACCCCGGUAGUCCACGCCGUAAACGAUGGAUACUAGCUGUUCGGAAUUUAUUCUGAGUGGCUAAGCGAAAGUGAUAAGUAUCCCACCUGGGGAGUACGUUCGCAAGAAUGAAACUCAAAGGAAUUGACGG